This 497-nucleotide ribosomal RNA is filed under the name uncultured bacterium. Its description in RNAcentral is "partial 16S ribosomal RNA". It matches the Rfam family "Bacterial small subunit ribosomal RNA", at positions 28 to 507 of the family's 1533-position model. The record is from RNAcentral.
GUUGAACGCUGGCGGCGUGCCUAAUACAUGCAAGUCGAGCGAACGAACGAGAAUUUUGCUUGGCUUCAGCGGGGGGCGGGCGGGUGAGGCACAGGUGUAUACCCGGCCGAGGAGACUGGCAUAACUUCGGGAGAGCGUAUCUAGUAUCGGAUAAGAGUUUGAACGGCGGGGUUCAAAAGAGAUAUACGGUCUUGAUGUCACUUAUAGAGAGUUCCGAGCUGGAUUAGCUAGUUGGUAAGGUAACGGCUUACCAAGGCAGCGAUGGAUAGCCGAUCGGAGAGGUGGACAGGCCACACUGGAACUGGAACAGGGUCAGGCCUCCUACGGGAGGAACCAGGAGGGAAUUUGCCGCAAUGGGGGAAAGCCUAACGGAGCAACGCCGGGUUAGUGAUGAAGUCCUUGGGAUCGUAAACCUCUGUUAUUAGGGAAGAACACAUGUAUAAGUAACCGUGCAGAUCUUGACGGUACCUAAUAAGAAAGCCCCGGCUAACUACGUG